UUAUUAGUCUUUGUGGGUUCGAUAAUCUUUAAAACUACACGAUAGGACUGUGCACUUGCAGUCAAGAUUCACAUAGACUUACUAAGUCACGAUCACCCCCAAGUCAACAGAAAUUUGAAUGUUGUAUACGCGCUCACACUCAUGGCCAUUCUCAGAUCACCUCGCCGAACUUCCACCAUGGGCCACCGCACCGGAAGUCGCUCCCGGCAGCGAUGGGCACCAAAACACAAAUCGGAGCUACCAAAAUGUACAUCUCCUCACGCUCUACUAGAAUCUUUGGACAAUUUCAAGAAAAUGGAACUCCACAACUCUAACAGAACCUUUCCACUCCAAGAACUCUAACAUGUAAUCCUAAAAUUAAAUUCUAACCUCAAUGAUUCAAAGCCUCUAGGAUGAGGGCUUUGAAUCCUCUCAACACUCUAUACAUACUAGUAGCCAAGGAUUGAAGAAAUGAAAAGAUUUUCAUAAUUACCUUGCCGGAGUUAGAGACUGUGAUGAUUUGAUUCCAGGUAAUGCUUUUGAAUGCUUGUUCCUUGUACUGAUUGUAACCUCUUAAUCUUCUCUUUCUUCUGGAUUCAAAAAUGGUGAAUUGAAUGCUUUGGUAUUUAAUUGGAGAGGCUUAGCAUAAGCAAUAUUGAAGCUCUAAUGGUGAGCUUCAAUGGCUUUGGGAUUAUGCGUGUAGUGAGGUUUAGGGAGAGAAAGGAAAUUUAGAGAGUGCUUAGGAGCUUGAGGAUAAUGAUUCCAAGGGUACUACAAACGAGAUGAUGGUUAGAUAGGACUUAGGUUUGGAUUAAAAUAGGUUUGGAUUCAGGUCUAGAAUUAGUUAGGACCAGUUUGGAGUUGCUUAGGAGUUGGUUAAGAUGAACUCAGUGAGUUCAUUUUGUUAACUCACUGAGUUGGCAGUUAGUUGAUUGUUCUAGUUAGUUAAUUGGUUAGGAUGAGUGAAUCUGAAUUGUUUUUCUUUGACUGGUUAUGGCAUGUUGUAACUUAAGUGAAAUUGGCUUAACCUGAGUGGUGACAUGCUGAACAGGUCCACUCCUUUUAAUGCCAACUUGGUUAGUGAAUUGAAUUUUGUGAAUGAGUUUAGUUAACUUUUGGUUUUGUUGCAAUGCCUUGAUGUUGAAUUGUUGUGUAGGUAUUAGGUUAUGUUAUUGUAGGGUUUAUAUGGUUGGAUGCACAGUAGCAGGUUGUUUGAUGGUGAUGUUGGCAGGGUGGUUUGCAUUGGUCAUAUGUGAUGCAUUAGAGGUAUGCAAGUGUGAAGGUUCUGAAGGUUUGGCAAUGUCAAGUUAGGUUAAUCAUUGGCAUGCUGCAUAUUAAAUAUCAUGGCCUUGUUUUAUGUUGAUGCAGGGUGUUUUCUCAUUGUUUCUUAGGAUGAAUGAAUGUGUUGCAGAUGGUUUUGUGAAUGGUUUUUGGAUUUGUUUCAAAGCAGGUUAUGACUCAUGUCUACAUAUGCUUUAUGGCAUGAUUCAUUUGCAAGUAUGCAUCAUAUUGGUCAUGUAGGCAUGGAUUCAGGUGGUCUUUGUUUGGCAAUGGUGUAUGUAUGAUUCAUGGCUUCUGUUGGCAGGAUUGUUUUCAUUGCUAACUUUUGGAUAACUUGGCAUGUAUGGCCUUGUUUCUGCAGGUUUUAUAUUGCAAGGUUUUGCAACUGGUUCUGCUGAGACCUAUUUGCAUUAUGGCCUUGAUGCUUGAAUUGCAGGUUUUGUCUCUGUUGGUCCAUUAUUAUGCUAUAUUGGUCUGCUCAUGGUCCUGCUGUAGGCUUGGUUUGCUGGUAUGCCUUGCAGGUAUCAUGGUCAGGCUGCAUUGUUGAUGGUUCUACUAGGCAGGUUCUGACCUCAGGUUGCAGUGGUAUUCUUAUGUUCUGCCAUGGCCUUUGAUGUAGCACAGGUCUGAAUUGGUUUUACAGGAAGCUUGGUUUACCUGCUGCAAUGUUGUAGGAUGGCCUUGGAUAUGUGCUUACAGCAUGAUUGGACUGAAUGUUAUGAUUAUAAUUGCUUGCUGCAGGUCUAUGUAUGUUGCAAUAUGGAAGCUGAACUAGUGAAUUAUGAAUGUUGCAGGAUGAACAGUUUGCUAUGGAUGACUGCUGCAGCAUAUUGCAUAAUUUCAUAACCAGGUUCUGCAGGUCAUAUGCAUAUGGACGUUGAUUGAACAAGACAACAUGACAUCAAGUUGAAGUUUUGAAGCAACAUGUCUAAAUGGAAAACCAAAGGACCAAGAUUGAGAAAUAGGAUUAGGAUUUUAGGAUUUUAGGGUUUUAGGAUGGAAAAAGAGUUAAGUUGACUUUGGUCAAAGUUGACCAGAAAGUCAAUUGUUGACAAAAGUCAGCAUUUGGUCAACAUGUCCAAUUUUUUGUAAUUUUUGAUGUAGUGAAUAUUUCUAUGCAAUGUAGAUGAUUAUUUGGAUGA
Molecule: long non-coding RNA, 2402 nt
Organism: Lathyrus oleraceus (garden pea)
Lineage: Eukaryota; Viridiplantae; Streptophyta; Magnoliopsida; Fabales; Fabaceae
Exons: 3
Source: RefSeq, a predicted model, not a curated record